This 2908-nucleotide ribosomal RNA is filed under the name Salmonella enterica subsp. enterica serovar Goldcoast. RNAcentral describes it as "23S ribosomal RNA". It matches the Rfam family "Bacterial large subunit ribosomal RNA". The record is from RNAcentral. Lineage: Bacteria; Pseudomonadati; Pseudomonadota; Gammaproteobacteria; Enterobacterales; Enterobacteriaceae.
GGUUAAGCGACUAAGCGUACACGGUGGAUGCCCUGGCAGUCAGAGGCGAUGAAGGGCGUGCUAAUCUGCGAUAAGCGCCGGUAAGGUGAUAUGAACCGUUAUAACCGGCGAUACCCGAAUGGGGAAACCCAGUGUGACUCGUCACACUAUCAUUAACUGAAUCCAUAGGUUAAUGAGGCGAACCGGGGGAACUGAAACAUCUAAGUACCCCGAGGAAAAGAAAUCAACCGAGAUUCCCCCAGUAGCGGCGAGCGAACGGGGAGGAGCCCAGAGCCUGAAUCAGCAUGUGUGUUAGUGGAAGCGUCUGGAAAGGCGCGCGAUACAGGGUGACAGCCCCGUACACAAAAGCGCAUGUGCUGUGAGCUCGAUGAGUAGGGCGGGACACGUGGUAUCCUGUCUGAAUAUGGGGGGACCAUCCUCCAAGGCUAAAUACUCCUGACUGACCGAUAGUGAACCAGUACCGUGAGGGAAAGGCGAAAAGAACCCCGGCGAGGGGAGUGAAAAAGAACCUGAAACCGUGUACGUACAAGCAGUGGGAGCACAGGUUUACCUGUGUGACUGCGUACCUUUUGUAUAAUGGGUCAGCGACUUAUAUUCUGUAGCAAGGUUAACCGAAUAGGGGAGCCGCAGGGAAACCGAGUCUUAAUUGGGCGUUAAGUUGCAGGGUAUAGACCCGAAACCCGGUGAUCUAGCCAUGGGCAGGUUGAAGGUUGGGUAACACUAACUGGAGGACCGAACCGACUAAUGUUGAAAAAUUAGCGGAUGACCUGUGGCUGGGGGUGAAAGGCCAAUCAAACCGGGAGAUAGCUGGUUCUCCCCGAAAGCUAUUUAGGUAGCGCCUCGUGAAUUCAUCUCCGGGGGUAGAGCACUGUUUCGGCUAGGGGGCCAUCCCGGCUUACCAACCCGAUGCAAACUGCGAAUACCGGAGAAUGUUAUCACGGGAGACACACGGCGGGUGCUAACGUCCGUCGUGAAGAGGGAAACAACCCAGACCGCCAGCUAAGGUCCCAAAGUCAUGGUUAAGUGGGAAACGAUGUGGGAAGGCCCAGACAGCCAGGAUGUUGGCUUAGAAGCAGCCAUCAUUUAAAGAAAGCGUAAUAGCUCACUGGUCGAGUCGGCCUGCGCGGAAGAUGUAACGGGGCUAAACCAUGCACCGAAGCUGCGGCAGCGACGCUUAUGCGUUGUUGGGUAGGGGAGCGUUCUGUAAGCCUGCGAAGGUGGCCUGUGAGGGUUGCUGGAGGUAUCAGAAGUGCGAAUGCUGACAUAAGUAACGAUAAAGCGGGUGAAAAGCCCGCUCGCCGGAAGACCAAGGGUUCCUGUCCAACGUUAAUCGGGGCAGGGUGAGUCGACCCCUAAGGCGAGGCCGAAAGGCGUAGUCGAUGGGAAACGGGUUAAUAUUCCCGUACUUGGUGUUACUGCGAAGGGGGGACGGAGAAGGCUAUGUUGGCCGGGCGACGGUUGUCCCGGUUUAAGCGUGUAGGUGUGUGUUCCAGGUAAAUCCGGUUCACUUUAACACUGAGGCGUGAUGACGAGGCACUACGGUGCUGAAGCAACAAAUGCCCUGCUUCCAGGAAAAGCCUCUAAGCAUCAGGUAACAUCAAAUCGUACCCCAAACCGACACAGGUGGUCAGGUAGAGAAUACCAAGGCGCUUGAGAGAACUCGGGUGAAGGAACUAGGCAAAAUGGUGCCGUAACUUCGGGAGAAGGCACGCUGACACGUAGGUGAAGUGAUUUACUCAUGGAGCUGAAGUCAGUCGAAGAUACCAGCUGGCUGCAACUGUUUAUUAAAAACACAGCACUGUGCAAACACGAAAGUGGACGUAUACGGUGUGACGCCUGCCCGGUGCCGGAAGGUUAAUUGAUGGGGUCAGCGCAAGCGAAGCUCCUGAUCGAAGCCCCGGUAAACGGCGGCCGUAACUAUAACGGUCCUAAGGUAGCGAAAUUCCUUGUCGGGUAAGUUCCGACCUGCACGAAUGGCGUAAUGAUGGCCAGGCUGUCUCCACCCGAGACUCAGUGAAAUUGAACUCGCUGUGAAGAUGCAGUGUACCCGCGGCAAGACGGAAAGACCCCGUGAACCUUUACUAUAGCUUGACACUGAACAUUGAGCCUUGAUGUGUAGGAUAGGUGGGAGGCUUUGAAGUGUGGACGCCAGUCUGCAUGGAGCCGACCUUGAAAUACCACCCUUUAAUGUUUGAUGUUCUAACGUGGACCCGUAAUCCGGGUUGCGGACAGUGUCUGGUGGGUAGUUUGACUGGGGCGGUCUCCUCCUAAAGAGUAACGGAGGAGCACGAAGGUUGGCUAAUCCUGGUCGGACAUCAGGAGGUUAGUGCAAUGGCAUAAGCCAGCUUGACUGCGAGCGUGACGGCGCGAGCAGGUGCGAAAGCAGGUCAUAGUGAUCCGGUGGUUCUGAAUGGAAGGGCCAUCGCUCAACGGAUAAAAGGUACUCCGGGGAUAACAGGCUGAUACCGCCCAAGAGUUCAUAUCGACGGCGGUGUUUGGCACCUCGAUGUCGGCUCAUCACAUCCUGGGGCUGAAGUAGGUCCCAAGGGUAUGGCUGUUCGCCAUUUAAAGUGGUACGCGAGCUGGGUUUAGAACGUCGUGAGACAGUUCGGUCCCUAUCUGCCGUGGGCGCUGGAGAACUGAGGGGGGCUGCUCCUAGUACGAGAGGACCGGAGUGGACGCAUCACUGGUGUUCGGGUUGUCAUGCCAAUGGCACUGCCCGGUAGCUAAAUGCGGAAGAGAUAAGUGCUGAAAGCAUCUAAGCACGAAACUUGCCCCGAGAUGAGUUCUCCCUGAGACUUAGAGUCUCCUGAAGGAACGUUGAAGACGACGACGUUGAUAGGCCGGGUGUGUAAGCGCAGCGAUGCGUUGAGCUAACCGGUACUAAUGAACCGUGAGGCUUAACCUU